UACGAAGGGGGCAAGCGUUGUUCGGAUUUACUGGGCGUAAAGGGCGCGUAGGCGGAUAUGUAAGUCAGAGGUGAAAGCCCUGGGCUCAACCCGGGAACUGCCCUUGAAACUACAUGUCUUGAGUACGGGAGAGGGUGGCGGAAUACCCAGUGUAGAGGUGAAAUUCGUAGAUAUUGGGUAGAACACCAGUGGCGAAGGCGGCCACCUGGCCCGUAACUGACGCUGAGGCGCGAAAGCGUGGGGAGCAAACAGG
This 253-nucleotide ribosomal RNA is filed under the name uncultured bacterium. RNAcentral's name for it is "partial 16S ribosomal RNA". It matches the Rfam family "Bacterial small subunit ribosomal RNA", at positions 524 to 776 of the family's 1533-position model. The record is from RNAcentral.